CCUACGGGAGGCAGCAGUGAGGAAUAUUGGGCAAUGGACGCAAGUCUGAACGAGCCAUGCCGCGGGCAGGAAGACGGCGCGAUGAGGGGUAAAAUGCAUUUGUACGAGGGAAAAUCCCGAUACGUGUACCGGGUUGAAUGUAUCGUACGAAUAAGGAUCGGCUAACGCCGUGCCAGCAGCCGCGGUAAUACGGAGGAUUCAUGCGUUGUCCGGAUUUAUUGGGUUUAACGGGUGCGUAGGGGGUUCGUUAGGUGCGAGGUGAGAUCCCGGGGCUCAACCCCGGCACUGCCUCUGUUACUGUCGGGCUAGAGUUUAGUUGCGGUAGGCGGAAUGUCUUGUGUAGCGGUGCACUGCAUAGAGAUCAUGCAGAACACCGAUUGCGAAGGCAGCUUACCAAACUACGACUGACGUUGAGGCACGAAAGCGUGGGGAGCAAACAGGAUUAGAUACCCUGGUAGUC
RNAcentral lists this ribosomal RNA (460 nucleotides) under uncultured bacterium. Its description in RNAcentral is "partial 16S ribosomal RNA". It matches the Rfam family "Bacterial small subunit ribosomal RNA", at positions 338 to 795 of the family's 1533-position model. The record is from RNAcentral.